AUAUUAAGAGAUGGAUUAAUUAAGCAGGUGACAGUGCAUAGUCGCGUCCUCAAAGCCUCCUCUCAGGUGCACGAGACAGCCAAUAUUAACUGUAUUGGCAUGUGGGAUGCGGCGCAUGGAUGCUCUCUAUGUAGUAAAAAGAACUGAUACAAAACUCGCAAACACAAGGGAAUUAAAUGGACAAACAAGAGCUGUUAGGUCAGGUAAAUUGCUCGAACUCCUGCAGGCUAUAACAAUCUUACUAGAUGUGGUUAGAAUUGGUUUGAUGAUCCAGUUCCAGAUGUAUUUAACCCACUGAUUCAUCCCCUUUAAUAUUCAUAUUCAACGCUCUGCAUGACUUUCCAUCAUUAAAUUCAAGUCCUGAGGCAUCCAUUGAAGAACACUCCUCAAUACGAUAAUCUCUUUCCUCAACUAAAGACUUCAUAUAUGAGCAUGGCCGCUCAUCUGCUUCUAUAUUAGAUACAGGCUCCUGGCCUGAACCAAAAGGCAAUUCAAAAGAUGAUGAACCAGGAGGUUGUGUCCUCAUCUGCACAGAUCGCAAGAGUGCAGCCCUCCUCAAGUCAGCUGAGUGGCAAAUAUCACUAGGUGAUGAUGGAAACCGACCUUCAGAAUCUGAACCUCUUUGGCGAGGUUGUAAGCAGGUGACACUAGUGGCAAUGCAGCCAUGUAGCGGAUAUGAGCUCGUAGAAGAAGCAGAAGAGAACCCACCAAAUGGUCUUUGGUACCUAUAGGGAGAAACUGGACUGGUGGGCAGACUCUCAGGUUGUGAUGAGCAAGUAUUUAUAGGGGUCUCACAAAAUCUAGAGUCAUCUGAGUCUUCUGACAUUGGUGAAUAUUGCAAGGACAUUUCAUCCCUUGCAUAGAACAUGCCUUCAGACCUUGCUGGAGAUUCCAUAAGAUUUUCAGAAAGCGGUUCUCCAACAGUUAACCCGUUUAAGCUAGAUGCCAUUAUCUCGCUUAGGUAACGCUUGUGAGAAUG
This 979-nucleotide unclassified non-coding RNA is filed under the name Hevea brasiliensis (rubber tree). Lineage: Eukaryota; Viridiplantae; Streptophyta; Magnoliopsida; Malpighiales; Euphorbiaceae. The record is from RNAcentral.